GCCACUGUUCAUUGCCGGAAGAGAGCCAAAAUUCCUUCUUUCCUGUUUUUGAGAUUUUUAUAGAGUUCGCCAGAAUCGUAGACCAUAGCUCGUCGAAAAAAGGGUAAGAUCUCUCUAUCUUUCUCCUCUUCUUCCUCAACUCGUGGGCAUUGGGACUCUGACCGACAAUUGUCAGAUUUGGUUGAAAUAGGGGCUCGAUCAAAUCUCCUAUUUUUUUGAUUUUUUGCUUGCUUUUCUCGAUUUCUUCCCGAUGACAAUCAUCACCACUGACCGCCGUUCAAUGAUCCCCCAUCCAUAUCGCUCCAGCCUACAUCCCCAGCCACCACCAUCUUGGGAGAGAAGCUC
This 345-nucleotide long non-coding RNA is filed under the name Elaeis guineensis (African oil palm). RNAcentral's name for it is "long non-coding RNA (EGUI_LNC013010)". The record is from RNAcentral. Lineage: Eukaryota; Viridiplantae; Streptophyta; Magnoliopsida; Arecales; Arecaceae.